RNAcentral lists this ribosomal RNA (253 nucleotides) under uncultured bacterium. RNAcentral describes it as "partial 16S ribosomal RNA". It matches the Rfam family "Bacterial small subunit ribosomal RNA", at positions 524 to 776 of the family's 1533-position model. The record is from RNAcentral.
GACGGAGGAUGCAAGCGUUAUCCGGAAUGAUUGGGCGUAAAGCGUCUGCAGGUGGCAGUUCAAGUCUGCUGUCAAAGACCGGGGCUUAACUUCGGAAAGGCAGUGGAAACUGAACAGCUAGAGUAUGGUAGGGGCAGAGGGAAUUCCUGGUGUAGCGGUGAAAUGCGCAGAUAUCAGGAGGAACACCGGUGGCGAAGGCGGGUCUCUGGGCAGUAACUGACGCUGAGGAGCGAAAGCGUGGGGAGCGAACAGG